GACGAACGCUGGCGGCGUGCUUAACACAUGCAAGUGGAGCGACGAACCGGGGCUUGCCCCGGGGCAGAGCCGCGAACGGGUGAGUAACACGUGGGUAACCCACCCCGAUGACCGGGACAACCCGAGGAAACUCGGGCUAAUACCGGAUGUUGUCGUUUCCCUCAAGGGAUUCGACGAAAGAUAGCUUCGGCCUUCGCAUCGGGACGGGCCCGCGGCCCAUUAGCUUGUUGGUGGGGUAACGGCCUACCAAGGCGACGAUGGGUAGCUGGUCUGAGAGGACGAUCAGCCACACUGGGACUGAGACACGGCCCAGACUCCUACGGGAGGCAGCAGUGGGGAAUCUUGCGCAAUGCGCGAAAGCGUGACGCAGCAACGCCGCGUGGGGGAAGAAGGCCUUCGGGUUGUAAACCCCUUUCAGUUGGGACGAAGCUUCGCCGGUUAAUAGCCGGCUGGAGUGACGGUACCUUCAGAAGAAGCCCCGGCUAACUACGUGCCAGCAGCCGCAGUAAUAC
Molecule: ribosomal RNA, 512 nt
Filed under: uncultured bacterium
Lineage: Bacteria
Description: bacterial SSU rRNA
Rfam family: Bacterial small subunit ribosomal RNA
Source: RNAcentral